RNAcentral lists this transfer RNA (72 nucleotides) under Saurogobio immaculatus. RNAcentral describes it as "tRNA-Ile". Lineage: Eukaryota; Metazoa; Chordata; Actinopteri; Cypriniformes; Gobionidae. The record is from RNAcentral.
AGAGCUAUGCCUGAAUUCCCAAGGACCACUUUGAUAGAGUGGCUUAUAGGGGUUAAAGUCCCCUUAGCUCUU